GUUUGAUCCUGGCUCAGAUUGAACGCUGGCGGCAUGCCUUACACAUGCAAGUCGAACGGCAGCACGGGAGCUUGCUCCUGGUGGCGAGUGGCGAACGGGUGAUUAAUAUAUCGGAACGUACCCUAGAGUGGGGGAUAACGCAGCGAAAGUUGCGCUAAUACCGCAUACGAUCUACGGAUGAGAGUGGGGGGAUCGCAAGACCUCAUGCUCAUGGAGCGGCCGAUAUCUGAUUAUCUAGUUGGUGGGGUAAAGGCCUACCAAGGCAUCGAUCAGUAGCUGGUCUGAGAGGACGACCAGCCACACUGGAACUGAGACACGGUCCAGACUCCUACGGGAGGCAGCAGUGGGGAAUUUUGGACAAUGGGGGCAACCCUGAUCCAGCAAUGCCGCGUGAGUGAAGAAGGCCUUCGGGUUGUAAAGCUCUUUUGUCAGGGAAGAAACGGUGAGGGCUAAUAUCCUUUGCUAAUGACGGUACCUGAAGAAUAAGCACCGGCUAACUACGUGCCAGCAGCCGCGGUAAUACGUAGGGUGCAAGCGUUAAUCGGAAUUACUGGGCGUAAAGCGUGCGCAGGCGGUUAUGUAAGUCAGAUGUGAAAUCCCCGGGCUCAACCUGGGAAUGGCAUUUGAGACUGCAUGGCUAGAGUGUGUCAGAGGGGGGUAGAAUUCCACGUGUAGCAGUGAAAUGCGUAGAGAUGUGGAGGAAUACCGAUGGCGAAGGCAGCCCCCUGGGAUAACACUGACGCUCAUGCACGAAAGCGUGGGGAGCAAACAGGAUUAGAUACCCUGGUAGUCCACGCCCUAAA
This 803-nucleotide ribosomal RNA is filed under the name uncultured bacterium. RNAcentral describes it as "bacterial SSU rRNA". It matches the Rfam family "Bacterial small subunit ribosomal RNA", at positions 11 to 806 of the family's 1533-position model. The record is from RNAcentral.